Molecule: long non-coding RNA, 2873 nt
Organism: Folsomia candida
Lineage: Eukaryota; Metazoa; Arthropoda; Collembola; Entomobryomorpha; Isotomidae
Exons: 3
Source: RefSeq, a predicted model, not a curated record
GAAUUAGAUUUAUGCAUUUUAUUCAGCAUAUUCAGUGUUUUAGCUCUGUUUUUUUAUCCAUAAGAGAAAGGUGAUAACCGAACUAAAAUUAGAACUAGCCAACACCCAUUCGGAAUUAAUUAUUAUCCGGACGUAUAAACUUUCUCAUGUAACUGAAUCUUAAGACAAUUAAAGAUUUUAGUAUAAUCAUCUCAGACCGCUGACAACAAAGUAGACUAAACUUCCCCAUCUCAAAACAGGAAAAUAUAAAUCAUUAUUAAUUAGUGCGACAGCAAUCACAAACAUGGUUGGCUGCACUCAAUUAAGACAUUUGCAGUGCAUGUAUACCAGACUGGGUGGAAUAUAUUAACUCUUCUCGUGCAUUCUGAAUUUAUUAAAAUGCUAAUAUGCAAAUUUUUCGCAAACUUUGUUUUCAAUGUUACUUUUAAUUAAUCUAGGUUAACGUAACAUUACUUUAUGGGUCAAUUUUAUACCAUCCAACGAAAAUUUAGUUUAUUCCAACCAAAAUUAAUAAUUUGGCCAAUAAUGCAAUGGGCAACGGGUUUAAUUUUUGCGUCCAACGAAAAUGUGAAAGCAUCCAACCAAAUUUUACAUAUCAUAUUAGUCUACUUUGCCUAUCAUAUUAUUGAUAGCAUACGUAAAUGGAUAGAUAUGGGUAUGUAUUUUCAUCAUUCACAAUUACCAUCACUAACUCACAUUUCUUCCCAAUUCUCAUUCAACUUUUGUCAGGCCAUUCCUUGUUAUUUCGUAAAACAAUUAACGAAAAUGUCAGAUUUUCAGCGACUAAAUAAUUAUCAAUCCGACUCUGAAGACUUGGUUGAAUAAACCUCACAAAGAAGCAAAAACGUAAUCCCGAAUUUAUUUUUUAUAAUUAGGAAAUAAACACUUACGGAGAGAGAGUUCCGUUAAGGCAAUAUUUUGGAUGUAUUAUGAAACUUCUGCUAAAUUGGUCUCGAGACAGAAACCCUGAUAAUUCAGACAGUAAAUGGUUUCAAAUUAGACCAUCAGUUUCAAAUUUGCUGAUCAAAAUCAUAUACUUGGGCACGGGAGAAAGCAGGACUUCGAUUUAGGAACCAGAGUGAAACUUCCAUGCAAUGUAUUUCACCAGCCGGAAAUAAAUCUAUUCGAAAGGAUGAAAUUGAUAGAAUCCUUGGGUUAAUCAAAAGAAUGUAUUGGAAAAAGUUUGAGCCGUACGCUUCAAGUAAACCGGCGUUCUGGAUUAUCAAUUUUAAAUUGCAUGACUGGAUUUCUUCCACUUGUUCUUGCUCUAUAUUCAAAAAAGUAUAUGUAUGCAGGCAUAUUGCUGAAAUGUGAAUAAUUAGAAAGAUAAUUGUUGUACCGGACAAUCUUAAAACUGAUGUUAUUGGAAGCUAAGCUAAGCGCGGUCGAAAAAAUUAGUUGGAAAUGCUUUGAUUAUUGACUAAAUUUUUAUACCUUCUUAUUUAUCGUAAAAUUUGAAGUACUUCAGGACAAGGAUUUCGUUUAUUUCUUAUUUGGAAAUUUAAUUAUUUUGUUGUGCAUUUUAAUGAAAGUUGUUGCAAAAUAAAUCAAUUCGUUGCCAAGUUCAUAAUUGGCGAAAUUAUUAAUUUUGGUUGGAUAAAGCUAUAUUUUCGUUGGACGGUUAAAUUGGCCCCCUUACUUUAUUAUUUAUUAGGUAUUCAUUCAUCGCAAGGGACAAGAAGAAACCAAUAAUUCCGUUUCCCUCAUACGAACCCCAUCAAAAUUAUGAAAACGAAAUAAAAUAAUACUGUUCGAAAUCAUUGAUACUGCCACUUAAUAAUUUUCACCUUUUGUUUGUAGGUUACAACCCAUGGUGGCAACCUCUUAUGGCCUCGGCGUCUUUAAAAAAAUUAGGUCAAUGACCUCACUUGGCCUCGGCUUCGCUGACAAAGUUCAAAGCCUCAUAAUUUCGACCUCAGGUCGGGAACCUUAAAGGCUUCAGCGAGGUCGGCCUCAGCCUCUCCAGUUAAAAAAUGAGGCCUAUGGCGUCACAUGACCAAAAACCCAAAAAGAGGCCUAGAGCUGAGGCCAAAAAACUACCUCAAAAAGGCCGAGGCCCACCACUGGUUACAACUUGGAAUAAAAAAAUAUAGCAUAAAAAUAUAAUAUGGAAAGAGAGCGAAGCGAAGGUGUCAGAAAGUCGUCUUGGUCACUUGGUUACUCAAAUUUUGAGUGGAGAGAAGUUGAGUCUCAAAUCUCUCAGUGACCAGCAGCACGAAUUGCCACAGAAGUGAUUUUCCAUUGUCAACAGUUUAUAAAAGUUGCUCGAAAAAUAAACAGAAAAGAUUCCUACUAGGCGAAACCUUGAGGGGAAUACGGCAUUACGAUGAUUGCGUACAUUAUUUGUUUGGUGUUUGCUUCUCUCCUUGCUUCAAUGAACACAUCUUUAGAUAAAUUUACCUUGAAGUUUUUUGCCUAUAUGUACAAAGGCAACUGGUCUUACCGUAGCGAAAUCGAUACGGAAGCGGACAACGUUGGGGACCCUCCCGUCCUACCUCCAGGAUACGUCAACGAUGGUUUCCGGGGGAUCGGCCAUUUUGAAGAAUAAAUAAUUAUAAAUAAUUAUAUGGUGGAGAAAAUGCAGUAUCAUGAACGACGUCGGAUUUCUUUUCAAAAUUUGCUUAUAAACACCUUACUUUUUUGCUGGCGUCUUGAAACCUAAUAUUUCUGAACACUUUUUCUUUAAUAUUUCUUUGUCUUCGAUUUUCAUUUUUCAUCCGAAAAUCAUUUUUGGACUUGUUAAAUGUAAGAAACUAUAAGAAUCUGGCUUUUAUUGAAAAUUCAAAAACAAAAAAAGUUAUAAAUUUAAAAAUCAUAUUCAAAAUCCGAUUCGUAUUCGGAAAUACUUUUAGAAUAGCAAUCGUAUUUAUAUG